This 373-nucleotide ribosomal RNA is filed under the name uncultured organism. Its description in RNAcentral is "partial 16S ribosomal RNA". It matches the Rfam family "Bacterial small subunit ribosomal RNA", at positions 527 to 896 of the family's 1533-position model. The record is from RNAcentral.
GUAGGUGGCAAGCGUUGUCCGGGAAUUAUUGGGCGUAAAGCGCGCGCAGGCGGUUCUUUAAGUCUGAUGUGAAAGCCCACGGGCUCAACCGUGGAGGGUCAUUGGAAACUGGAGAACUUGAGUACAGAAGAGGAAAGCGGAAUUCCACGUGUAGCGGUGAAAUGCGUAGAGAUGUGGAGGAACACCAGUGGCGAAGGCGGCUUUCUGGUCUGUAACUGACGCUGAGGCGCGAAAGCGUGGGGAGCAAACAGGAUUAGAUACCCUGGUAGUCCAUGCCGUAAACGAUGAGUGCUAAGUGUUAGGGGGUUUCCGCCCCUUAGUGCUGCAGCUAACGCAUUAAGCACUCCGCCUGGGGAGUACGGCCGCAAGGCUG